Molecule: ribosomal RNA, 396 nt
Filed under: uncultured Oscillospiraceae bacterium
Lineage: Bacteria; Bacillati; Bacillota; Clostridia; Eubacteriales; Oscillospiraceae
Description: bacterial SSU rRNA
Rfam family: Bacterial small subunit ribosomal RNA
Source: RNAcentral
UGGGGAAUAUUGGGCAAUGGGCGAAAGCUUGACCCAGCAACGCCGCGUGAAGGAAGAAGGUCUUCGGAUUGUAAACUUCUUUUAUGAGGGACGAAGGACGUGACGGUACCUCAUGAAUAAGCCACGGCUAACUACGUGCCAGCAGCCGCGGUAAUACGUAGGUGGCAAGCGUUAUCCGGAUUUACUGGGUGUAAAGGGCGCGUAGGCGGGGAUGCAAGUCAGAUGUGAAAUCUAUGGGCUUAACCCAUAAACUGCAUUUGAAACUGUAUCUCUUGAGUGCUGGAGAGGUAGAUGGAAUUCCUUGUGUAGCGGUGAAAUGCGUAGAUAUCGGGAGGAAUACCGGUGGCGAAGGCGAUUUACUGGACGACAACUGACGCUGAGACACGAAAGCGUGGG